UUUCCGUAGGUGAACCUGCGGAAGGAUCAUUAUCGUAAAACCGAGGUGCGAGGGCUGUCGCUGACCUUUUCGGUCGUGCACGCCCGAGCGCUCUCACACAAUCCAUCUCACCCCCUGUGCACCACCGCGUGGGUCCCUUUCUGGCUCGUCCGGAGGGGGCUCGCGUUUUCACACAAACUUGAAGUAGUGUAGAAUGUCCUUUUUUUGCGAUAACACGCAAUCAAUACAACUUUCAACAACGGAUCUCUUGGCUCUC
RNAcentral lists this unclassified non-coding RNA (256 nucleotides) under plant metagenome. Its description in RNAcentral is "partial contains small subunit ribosomal RNA, internal transcribed spacer 1, and 5.8S ribosomal RNA". The record is from RNAcentral.